This 511-nucleotide ribosomal RNA is filed under the name uncultured bacterium. RNAcentral's name for it is "bacterial SSU rRNA". It matches the Rfam family "Bacterial small subunit ribosomal RNA", at positions 28 to 524 of the family's 1533-position model. The record is from RNAcentral.
GAUGAACGCUAGCUACAGGCCUAACACAUGCAAGUCGAGGGGCAGCGGGAAGGAAGCUUGCUUUCUUCGCCGGCGACCGGCGCACGGGUGCGUAACGCGUAUCGAACCUACCCUUUACUCGGGAACAGCCUUGCGAAAGCAAGAUUAAUGCCCGAUGUUCCGCGUUUGCCGCAUGGCAAAUUCGGCAAAGAUUUAUUGGUAAAGGAUGGCGAUGCGUCCCAUUAGUUAGUUGGCGGGGUAACGGCCCACCAAGACGACGAUGGGUAGGGAUUCUGAGAGGAAGGUCCCCCCACAUUGGUACUGAGACACGGGACCAAACUCCUACGGGAGGCAGCAGUGAGGAAUAUUGGUCAAUGGCCGAGAGGGCUGAACCAGCCAAGUCGCGUGAAGGAAGAAGGGAUCUAUGGUUUGUAAACUUCUUUUAUAGGGGUAAUAAAGUGGAGGACGUGUCCUUUUUUGAUGUACCCUAUGAAUAAGCAUCGGCUAACUCCGUGCCAGCCGCCGCCGUAAU